UACGUAGGGUGCGAGCGUUGUCCGGAAUUAUUGGGCGUAAAGGGCUCGUAGGCGGUCUGUCGCGUCGGGAGUGAAAACUCAGGGCUUAACCCUGAGCCUGCUUCCGAUACGGGCAGACUAGAGGUAUGCAGGGGAGAACGGAAUUCCUGGUGUAGCGGUGAAAUGCGCAGAUAUCAGGAGGAACACCGGUGGCGAAGGCGGGUCUCUGGGCCGAUACUGACGCUGAGGAGCGAAAGCAUGGGUAGCGAACAGG
Molecule: ribosomal RNA, 253 nt
Filed under: uncultured bacterium
Lineage: Bacteria
Description: partial 16S ribosomal RNA
Rfam family: Bacterial small subunit ribosomal RNA
Source: RNAcentral